Molecule: ribosomal RNA, 253 nt
Filed under: uncultured bacterium
Lineage: Bacteria
Description: partial 16S ribosomal RNA
Rfam family: Bacterial small subunit ribosomal RNA
Source: RNAcentral
UCCGUAGGGUGCAGGCGUUAAUCGGAAUUACUGGGCGUAAAGCGUGCGCAGGCGGUUUGCUAAGACAGAUGUGAAAUCCCCGGGCUUAACCUGGGAACUGCGUUUGUAACUGGCAAGCUAGAGUGUGGCAGAGGGGGGUGGAAUUCCAAGUGUAGCAGUGAAAUGCGUAGAUAUUUGGAGGAACACCGACGGCGAAGGCAGCCCCCUGGGCUAACACUGACGCUCAUGCACGAAAGCGUGGGGAGCAAACAGG